This 497-nucleotide ribosomal RNA is filed under the name Bacillus subtilis. RNAcentral's name for it is "bacterial SSU rRNA". It matches the Rfam family "Bacterial small subunit ribosomal RNA", at positions 38 to 516 of the family's 1533-position model. The record is from RNAcentral. Lineage: Bacteria; Bacillati; Bacillota; Bacilli; Caryophanales; Bacillaceae.
GGAAGGGCGCGUGCUAUACAUGCAAGUCGAGCGGACAGAUGGGAGCUUGCUCCCUGAUGUUAGCGGCGGACGGGUGAGUAACACGUGGGUAACCUGCCUGUAAGACUGGGAUAACUCCGGGAAACCGGGGCUAAUACCGGAUGGUUGUUUGAACCGCAUGGUUCAAACAUUAAAAGGGGGCUUCGGCUACCACUUACAGAUGGACCCGCGGCGCAUUAGCUAGUUGGUGAGGUAACGGCUCACCAAGGCGACGAUGCGUAGCCGACCUGAGAGGGUGAUCGGCCACACUGGGACUGAGACACGGCCCAGACUCCUACGGGAGGCAGCAGUAGGGAAUCUUCCGCAAUGGACGAAAGUCUGACGGAGCAACGCCGCGUGAGUGAUGAAGGUUUUCGGAUCGUAAAGCUCUGUUGUUAGGGAAGAACAAGUACCGUUCGAAUAGGGCGGUACCUUGACGGUACCUAACCAGAAAGCCACGGCUAACUACGUGCCACGCC